Molecule: microRNA precursor, 118 nt
Filed under: Drosophila simulans
Lineage: Eukaryota; Metazoa; Arthropoda; Insecta; Diptera; Drosophilidae
Description: microRNA dsi-mir-1001 precursor
Rfam family: mir-1001 microRNA precursor family (bases 15-104)
Source: miRBase by way of RNAcentral
GCCCGCGAUGAUGUAAGCUGGCCUGUCCCUGGGUAAACUCCCAAGGAUCAGGUGGAGAUUGAAUCCCGAUCCUUGGGUUUCUGCUCUCGGGCAAGGUCAGCAGUGCCCGCGAAGGGCC